GACUGCGUACCUUUUGUAUAAUGGGUCAGCGACUUAUAUUCUGUAGCAAGGUUAACCGAAUAGGGGAGCCGGAGGGAAACCGAGUCUUAACCGGGCGUUAAGUUGCAGGGUAUAGACCCGAAACCCGGUGAUCUAGCCAUGGGCAGGUUGAAGGUUGGGUAACACUAACUGGAGGACCGAACCGACUAAUGUUGAAAAAUUAGCGGAUGACCUGUGGCUGGGGGUGAAAGGCCAAUCAAACCGGGAGAUAGCUGGUUCUCCCCGAAAGCUAUUUAGGUAGCGCCUCGUGAAUUCAUCUCCGGGGGUAGAGCACUGUUUCGGCUAGGGGGCCAUCCCGGCUUACCAACCCGAUGCAAACUGCGAAUACCGGAGAAUGUUAUCACGGGAGACACACGGCGGGUGCUAACGUCCGUCGUGAAGAGGGAAACAACCCAGACCGCCAGCUAAGGUCCCAAAGUCAUGGUUAAGUGGGAAACGAUGUGGGAAGGCCCAGACAGCCAGGAUGUUGGCUUAGAAGCAGCCAUCAUUUAAAGAAAGCGUAAUAGCUCACUGGUCGAGUCGGCCUGCGCGGAAGAUGUAACGGGGCUAAACCAU
RNAcentral lists this ribosomal RNA (594 nucleotides) under Salmonella enterica. Its description in RNAcentral is "partial 23S ribosomal RNA". It matches the Rfam family "Bacterial large subunit ribosomal RNA", at positions 595 to 1190 of the family's 2925-position model. The record is from RNAcentral. Lineage: Bacteria; Pseudomonadati; Pseudomonadota; Gammaproteobacteria; Enterobacterales; Enterobacteriaceae.